RNAcentral lists this ribosomal RNA (265 nucleotides) under uncultured bacterium. RNAcentral's name for it is "partial 16S ribosomal RNA". It matches the Rfam family "Bacterial small subunit ribosomal RNA", at positions 793 to 1055 of the family's 1533-position model. The record is from RNAcentral.
GUCCACGCCCUAAACGAUGUCGACUGGUUGUUGGGGGUUUGACACUCUUAGUAACGAAGCUAACGCGUGAAGUCGACCGCCUGGGGAGUACGGCCGCAAGGUUAAAACUCAAAGGAAUUGACGGGGACCCGCACAAGCGGUGGAUUAUGUGGAUUAAUUCGAUGCAACGCGAAAAACCUUACCUACCCUUGACAUGUCCGAGAGGCUGGAGAAAUCCAGCUGUGCCCGAAAGGGAAUCGGAACACAGGUGCUGAAUGGCUGUCGU